AUUGCUAUGCGAAUGACUGUUU
This 22-nucleotide microRNA is filed under the name Euprymna scolopes. RNAcentral's name for it is "Esc-Mir-12504_5p (mature (guide))". The record is from RNAcentral. Lineage: Eukaryota; Metazoa; Mollusca; Cephalopoda; Sepiida; Sepiolidae. RNAcentral also lists the same sequence under 2 other names.